This 589-nucleotide long non-coding RNA is filed under the name Homo sapiens (human). RNAcentral describes it as "HSALNT0378348". The record is from RNAcentral. Lineage: Eukaryota; Metazoa; Chordata; Mammalia; Primates; Hominidae.
CUAAAGGUUAAAUUGAUCACUGAUGGCCAAUGAUGUAAUUGAUCAUGCCUACUUAACAAAGCCUCCAUAAAACUCAAAAGAACGAAAUUCCGAUUCCGGAUGGCUGAACAUGUGGAGAUUCCUAAAGGGUGUCCUGCCUGGGAGAGCAUGUUGUCCUGCUUGAGAGAGAAAAGGACACAGAUGAAGAGUCACAUAGGGUGAAGUAUAGAGUGGUUGAGCGCCCCGUCUCUACACUUCACCUUUUGUAUCUCUUCAUAUGUAUCCUUUGUAAUAUACUUUAUAAUAAACCAAUAAUCGCAAAUGGAGCCCCACUCUGUUGCCCAGACUGGAGUGCAGUGGCGUGAUCUCGGCUCACCGCAACUUCCGCCUCCCGGGUUCAAGUGAUUCUCCUGCCUCAGCCUUCCAACUAGCUGGGAUUGCAGUGUCAUGAUGGCCCCAAUGUGACUGCAACUUCUAGGUGUUAUGAAACAAAAGGGACAACAACAACAGCAGCAAAGUUUCCUUAAUCUGAAUAAAACAUAUUUAUAUUUAAUAUGCAAUGCUCUAUAUUUAAGUUUAUUUCUGUCUGCUUAGAUUAUAAGUUUAGUCC